RNAcentral lists this ribosomal RNA (748 nucleotides) under uncultured Arcobacter sp. RNAcentral describes it as "bacterial SSU rRNA". It matches the Rfam family "Bacterial small subunit ribosomal RNA", at positions 97 to 865 of the family's 1533-position model. Lineage: Bacteria; Pseudomonadati; Campylobacterota; Epsilonproteobacteria; Campylobacterales; Arcobacteraceae. The record is from RNAcentral.
GGCGGACGGGUGAGUAAUAUAUAGGUAAUGUGCCCUAGAGAAGAGGAUAACAGCUGGAAACGACUGCUAAUACUCUAUAUGCCUUUAAGACAAAAGUCUGCAAGGGAAAUAUUUAUAGCUCUAGGAUCGGCCUGUACGGUAUCAGCUAGUUGGUGAGGUAAUGGCUCACCAAGGCAAUGACGCCUAACUGGUUUGAGAGGAUGAUCAGUCACACUGGAACUGAGACACGGUCCAGACUCCUACGGGAGGCAGCAGUGGGGAAUAUUGCACAAUGGGGGAAACCCUGAUGCAGCAACGCCGCGUGGAGGAUGACACAUUUCGGUGCGUAAACUCCUUUUAUAUAGGAAGAUAAUGACGGUACUAUAUGAAUAAGCGCCGGCUAACUCCGUGCCAGCAGCCGCGGUAAUACGGAGGGCGCAAGCGUUACUCGGAAUCACUGGGCGUAAAGAGCGUGUAGGCGGGUUAAUAAGUUUGAAGUGAAAUCCUAUGGCUCAACCAUAGAACUGCUUUGAAAACUGUUAACCUAGAAUAUGGGAGAGGUAGAUGGAAUUUCUGGUGUAGGGGUAAAAUCCGUAGAGAUCAGAAGGAAUACCGAUUGCGAAGGCGAUCUACUGGAACAUUAUUGACGCUGAGACGCGAAAGCGUGGGGAGCAAACAGGAUUAGAUACCCUGGUAGUCCACGCCCUAAACGAUGUACACUAGUUGUUGUGAGGCUAGACCUUGCAGUAAUGCAGUAAACACAUUAAGU